AACCAUUCUCACCUGCGGCUAGACCUGCGGAGGGAUCAUUAAAGAUUGACCGAAAGGUCUUAUCUCUAUAUCCCUCACCUCUGUGAACUGUGGACCUCCGGGUCUAUUUAACAAACAUCAGUGUAAUGAACGUAUAUAUCAUUAAACAAAACAAAACUUUCAGCAAUGGAUCU
RNAcentral lists this unclassified non-coding RNA (173 nucleotides) under soil metagenome. RNAcentral describes it as "partial contains 5.8S ribosomal RNA, internal transcribed spacer 2, and large subunit ribosomal RNA". The record is from RNAcentral.